RNAcentral lists this long non-coding RNA (399 nucleotides) under Astyanax mexicanus (Mexican tetra). Its description in RNAcentral is "lncRNA (ENSAMXG00005014231.1)". The record is from RNAcentral. Lineage: Eukaryota; Metazoa; Chordata; Actinopteri; Characiformes; Acestrorhamphidae.
CUCAUUUACACUCACACUCUCUCUCUCUCUCUCUCUCUCUCUCUCUCUCUCUCAUCAGGUAGAGGUGUCUCUGGCGGGAGGCAGCGGGCCUGGUCUAGCGUGACUGACAGGAGGGGCUCCAGACACUGGAAGGUUCUCCAACACUGUAGACUCCUCCACUGUCAGAAACAAAUCGGUGCAUCAUGGUCCUCCACAUUCCCUGGCAACUGCAGGUAAACAUUUUGUUAGGUAAUGGUUAUGGUUCCCAGUCUGUGUGGUUUUUAGUGUGUGCAGAAUUUACUCAAUAGGCUAAAUACUAAUAAUUCAAGCAAUUCAUGUUUAAUUUGCAAAGUGAAAUACAGAACAUUCUGUUCAUCAGAUGUGAAAUACAGUUUUUUUUUUCAGCAACUCUAACACAGA